GGAGGGGUGCAAGAGUGGCUGAAUUGGCCAGCCCGGAAAGCUGGUGUACCGGCAACGGUACCGUGGGUUCGAAUCCCACCCCCUCCGCCA
This 90-nucleotide transfer RNA is filed under the name Acidobacteriota bacterium. RNAcentral's name for it is "tRNA-Ser". It matches the Rfam family "tRNA". Rfam says of the family: Transfer RNA (tRNA) molecules are approximately 80 nucleotides in length. Lineage: Bacteria; Pseudomonadati; Acidobacteriota. The record is from RNAcentral.